Long non-coding RNA from Camelus dromedarius (Arabian camel), 1519 nucleotides. Lineage: Eukaryota; Metazoa; Chordata; Mammalia; Artiodactyla; Camelidae. The record is from Ensembl.
GUUGGAUGGAUGGAUGAAAGAAUGACCAGUCACACUGAAAGGAGCAAGUGCCUGCAAAUGGACUCUUUCCAUCCAUGUGCCUUGUCUUCGCCUAGUUAAUCAUCGCCAGACGAAGAACGGAGCCGGUGGGUCUGGGGGCCGUGACGUCCACCUUCCGUCUUGCUCAGCGUUGCUUCUCCUGGAGACGCGGCUUCACCCUGGGUGAUGCCUCCUGGCUACAAGUAUUACCACUUGCAAAGAGGGAAAAGAGAAAUAACCUGAAUAUUUGGGAUUCCAAAAGUUGUCUUGUACGAGAACGACCCUAAGACAAGAAAAAUGCUGAAUGCCGCUGUCAGAAGGCGUGUUUUCCCUCCCCCGUGCUGGCUAGCCCCAGGCAGAAUUUGGAGGGCUCUUCUCCUUUCGCCCUGCUCCAGAAGGAGCCCGGUGAGUCUCAUCUUGUGUGUGUGCGAGUGUGACUCGUGUGCCCUUUAGAUGAGGACGCCUCCUUCGCUGCCCUUAUAGUCACUGCGGCCUUCUCUGCUCUUGUUUGCAGCAAAAACGUUCUUGCUGGCUCCCUGCUUCAGCCUUGUCCUCACCCUGUUGCAGCCAGAGUGGUUGUUCCCCGUCCCUCCCGUGCCUCGGUCCUUCAGCGGCUCCCAAUGACCUCAGGAUAAGACUAGCGCGGAGUUCAAAGCCUUCCACCAUCCGGCCUGAGCUGGUUCACCUCCUGGUCGCACUUUUUCCUCUUACUUGGCCAGGCCGCAACCUCGCGGCCCGCCCUCCUGCCAGGCUCCAGGCUCCUGCCCUCGUUUCCGCGGUCUCCACUGCCCUCCCCUCUGCGAGACGAUAGCUGUUCCCUGGGUACCAUGGGCGCGGUGGCGCGCAUCCUUGCAGGCACCCCUCUGGGGCUCGGGGCUGGGUCGGGGGCCGGUGCUUCCCGAGGCGACCGGCCAGGGGGCGGUGCGAGCGGCUCCCGGUGACAGCGGGGGCGCGAGGGGGGGAGGAGGAGGGACGCAGGCAGCGCGGAGCGCGGCUCUCCCGGCCUCACACUCCGACAGAGCCUCGCGCGCCCGAGCCGCUGGCCGCCCGCGCAGCCCGACGCGGAACCGGGCGCAGGGACAGACCGGUGCAGGACGGCGCGGGGCGCGGCGGCGGCGGCCGUCCAUGCGGCGGGCUCGGGGCUGCCCGGGCACGGGAAGCACGCGGGCGAGGCGAGGGGGCCGCCGGCCGCUCCGGGAAGCGGACCGCCACGGAGCUGAGCACCACUCCCGGCGCCACUCCCGGCUCCAGGAAACUGGCACCAUCUCUGAGGAGCCCCUGCUUUUCCCGGGACCCCCAACAUCAUGGUUUCCUGUUUCAUGGGGUCUCCCAGUGACAGAAAGUAAAACAGAUGUGUGAAGCCACAGCCUCAUGCAGUCCGGGAAGAAAACUGAUGUAAUAAUAUGGCAAACGCUUGGUGUGAAGGUACGUUGGGUCCUCGGAGGCCCCAGAGCGCCGUGGUUCAGAGUCCGGGCCAAGAGUCUGACUGCUGGCAUGGAAG